RNAcentral lists this long non-coding RNA (276 nucleotides) under Homo sapiens (human). Its description in RNAcentral is "HSALNT0185583". The record is from RNAcentral. Lineage: Eukaryota; Metazoa; Chordata; Mammalia; Primates; Hominidae.
CGGCGGAGGCCACUGCUUCCCUCGAAGGAAAUAGGAGCUUAAGAAUAGAGGAGGCAUAAGUUGGUUUUAUAAAUGAAAGAGAAUUAAUUGCAAUAAAUUAAAGCUAAUCCUGUCACAAACUGAAAAGUUGAACCUACAGUAAUCAGAAUUCUGUAACAGUGCACCAGAAGGGACUCUAGAUCGUCGCCCUGAUUGAAAAUGCUAGCACUUUUUUGAAAACACCCCCACCAGCGGGUGGUCCAGUGGAUGAAUAAAAUCUUGUGGUGACCAGUACCU